CAUCUGCUUUGGGGCUGUUUUCACCCCUUUCAUCUGAAAAUGUGAAAAAAAAUCAGGUGGGAGGCUUUGUGCUCCUCCGUGACCACUCAAAUUUGUUUUGGUCCGCAUGUAGUAUCAUUAUGCAGUAUCUCACAGAUGCAUAAUGCAUCACUUUGGAUUGUAUCCUGCAUAUCACGGCUUGGCUUUUUUUUGGCCUAAAACCUACUUGCUUCAUCUCUGAUGGGAGAGUCCUCUUUCAGUUUAACUGUGAUAAUUGACCUGGCAUCUACUGAUACAGAAAAUAUUAUACUUUGUAUCGUAUCUGCGAUCACAAAUUCUACCAUAAGUUCUAUCAGAUACUAAAUCCUAUUUAUUUUGCACUACUAAAAGCUUCAUUAUGUUUGGAACAUCAGCCAUACGUACUUUGUAUGCUGUUGUUUGUGCAAUCUAUUUCAUGCAACCUCUUUUAAUUACAUGUUUGUGCAACCUAUUUCAUGAAACCCUACCAUAUUGUUGUUGUUUGUCCAACCUGUUUCAUGCAGCCUCUUUGAAUUAAAUGCUUCCUAUCAUGUACAGCAAAAAGGCUCCUCAUUGAUGAAAUGAAAAUAUUCAUCUGUACUUUUCUUGGAAUUCUAACUAUGGAUCCCGUAGUGAUAUCUUUUAUACCAUUAUUAAUGUGAUUUCCUUUCUCAGAAUUUUUUGUUAACAUGAAUUUUAGUUAGACCCAUAAUUUUCAAGAAGACGAGAAACAUUGUUUUUAUUUUCCAAAAAAUAAAGGCAUUGAAAAGCUUGUUUCAUUUUUCAUUUUUCUUCCAAGAUGAACAAUUAUCAGGUUCUAUCCUCCUUUUGUUUUAUAUAGUCUGAUAGUAGUAAAUUGGAAAACUAAAAGGUUCUGAGAACUAGCCAGUACUUAUGUUCUGAUAUUUAUCUACAAUAUUGUAUUAUUUUAUUUCAUUAUUAGCGAAAUUGUCUGCCCCUGUAAUAUCUCAGUUACUCUCUUGCAUCUUGCAGCACUGCAAUACAUGUUUAAUCUUUUGACGAGCUGUGGUGAUAUCGCUCCCUCCCUCUCUUUUGUUUGAACUGUGUAUAUCACUAACUUAUCUGCUCUUUCAGGUAUGUUAGAAGUUCUAUUGAAAGAUGCUCUUUAACAAAUUUAUCUGAACCCACAGAUCUGGACUUUUUAAGUUACAAAGUACAAAGAGAACUUCAUUUGUUUUUGACACAGUAUUUUGAGACCGAUGGGAAACUGCUACCAAUAGUGUGUCCUAAGAUCAUUGACAUUGUACGCCUGUUCUAUCCAUAAAAGUUAGAUUCUAGGUCUUCUAAGCCUGUACUAUAGCUGGUUACUGAACAAGUGACUGGAGAGAGACCACAUAUAGAAGAAAUUCGGAAGAUCCGUGUUCUCUUGAGUCUUGCAGAAAUGAGCUUAAAGUAAGUACUCUGAACUACUCAUUUAGUGAUACUUUACAAGUGUAAAGGUAUGAAUAUACGUGACAAAGAAAUUUACGAUACUCCGGUUGUACUCUACAGGUAUAUACAUCUUUUUUUUGGAGAAUGCCAGGUAGAUAUACAUCUCUUAUUAAGUAUGUGAAAACAUGGCUCUGUUUUACAUAAAUGAAAAGUAACUUCCGCUUCAGGCUUACAGUACUUUGAGGAAUUAUACCAAGUCAAAUAAAAUGUAUUUCCCUAAUAAGAACUUCUGCUUAUGCUUGCCAGGCUUGGAAGCUCUGUCAUCCUGAUGUUGGACAUGCAUUUCAAUAUUUCAGGAAGGUUGGCAUUAAACUGAUGCUCUUUCCGAUUAUGAUACCCGUCAACGACCACUUCUACAGGUCUUGAAAUGUAAUCACUGGUUUGAUGCGGUUUGCCGUGUCUGCUGAGCUGAAACGUCUGCAGGGAGGCUUCAGUUAGAUUCAGAUAUGGUGUUUCACCUGCAGAUGAGCAGGACAUCUCAUGCACCGAGACAUUGGAAGAAAUACAAACCACCUUGAUAGUGGAUCUUAUCCGGAGGGAGCUGUCGCUGACGCUCCAGUGUACAGCAACUAUCAAGCUUGGUUCUAAGCCUUUAGCUGUACCUACCUUAAUUUGGAGACAUUUCAGGUGUUAAAGUUGGUUGUAGCUAGCUUUGUUCGGAGUUGUAUUUCCUUGCUAGCUUGUAGCAAGCUAUUUGGUGUUUAAUGCUUACUUUGGUCGGCAUUCAGGUAGGCUAGAGAAUACCGGCACACGGAGGAAAUCUACAAUAUUCUCCGAUUUGGGGAUUACUCUGAGGUGCAGAAUUUACCAAAUAGAACAACUAUGCAAAUGGUUUAGUCCCUUUUGGAGCCUUUGUCGAUUAAUGUUUGAAACAACUGCCCCAUAAUAUUCAUAUAAGUUCUGGUGUGGUCAUCUGUCUCAUCGCUGCAAUUGGGAAAUUAUCUUCUUGGGAAAUUUAUGGAUAUGGUACAAAACAAUAGAUGCUCCCACUUUGAGUGUAAAAAUUCCGAGCAUAUAUAUCUUGCUAGAUUAUACUUUUAGAGAAAUAGUUUGAAAGGGGAAUCAUUCCAGUGAGCAAGAGAAAUCUCCUGUAAAAAUACAAGUGUCGUGAGUUUUCUAUACCAUAGCUUGUUCAGUGUAUCUGUUUUGUAUAGUAAUAAUUAUUGCAAAAUUUUGAGGAUUUGCAAAGUUCUCAUA
This is a long non-coding RNA of Lolium rigidum, 2646 nucleotides long. RefSeq lists it as uncharacterized. The record is from RefSeq and is a predicted model, not a curated record. The transcript is spliced from 3 exons. NCBI's taxonomy places the organism in Eukaryota, Viridiplantae, Streptophyta, Magnoliopsida, Poales, Poaceae.